CAAGCGAAGCGCCUGUAUUCCAAAUAUGUUUAAGAAACAGUCGGGACAAACUGGACUCAGCGCAAUAGUGAUCAAUACUUGAACUGUCGGCGUGACAUCUCCCCCAAGUGCUGCGCCGAUGAAGGUACCAAAGGACCGCGUACCUUUGUUUUACUCCUAAUGGUCUUAACCCGGAUUCACCCCCCAGAACCCGG
Molecule: small RNA, 194 nt
Filed under: Pseudomonas fluorescens HK44
Lineage: Bacteria; Pseudomonadati; Pseudomonadota; Gammaproteobacteria; Pseudomonadales; Pseudomonadaceae
Description: RgsA sRNA
Rfam family: RgsA sRNA
About the family: P16 sRNA appears to be conserved across several Pseudomonas species and Azotobacter vinelandii. In these species it is consistently located downstream of a predicted TatD deoxyribonuclease gene.
Source: Rfam by way of RNAcentral